This 435-nucleotide ribosomal RNA is filed under the name uncultured bacterium. RNAcentral describes it as "bacterial SSU rRNA". It matches the Rfam family "Bacterial small subunit ribosomal RNA", at positions 29 to 491 of the family's 1533-position model. The record is from RNAcentral.
AGCGAACGCUAGCGGCGGGCCUAACACAUGCAAGUCGAGCGGGGGAGCAAUCCCCAGCGGCGGACGGGUGAGUAACACGUAGGUUAUGUGCCCUUUGGUGGGGAAUAACCGUGGGAAACCAUGGCUAAUUCCGCAUAUCGAGCGAAAUCUUGAAAGCCUUCGGGCGCCAAAAGGAGCAACCUGCGGCCCAUUAGCUUGUUGGUAGGGUAACGGCCUACCAAGGCGAUGAUGGGUAGCUGGUCUGAGAGGAUGAUCAGCCACACUGGAACUGAGACACGGUCCAGACUCCUACGGGAGGCAGCAGUGGGGAAUAUUGCGCAAUGGGCGAAAGCCUGACGCAGCCACGCCGCGUGAGUGAUGAAGGCCUUCGGGUCGGUAAAACUACUGUCGGGAGGGGCGAAGGGGCGAACCCUCGACGGUACCUCGCAAGAAAGC